This is a long non-coding RNA of Scatophagus argus, 2533 nucleotides long. RefSeq lists it as uncharacterized. The transcript has 5 exons. The record is from RefSeq and is a predicted model, not a curated record. Lineage: Eukaryota; Metazoa; Chordata; Actinopteri; Scatophagidae.
AGGAGCGUUUGUUAGAAAAUGCCUUUACGCGCGCUGUCUGAGCAGCUUGUCAUUCUAACAAGUGCGAGCCGUCAAACAACAACAAACGCCUCUGGCACAUCCUUUCCCCUGUUAGACAGGACAUUUAUGUCUGGCUGCCUGUCCUGCCAUUCGGGACCUGCAACACACCGUUGUCACAGACACACACGCGACAAGGCUCCGGUUUCCAGAUGUCGUUGUGUUGGUAGACGGUCUCAUCGACCGUGCAGCUUUCCCCUUUCUUCUCAUCAGCAGCUGUGACCAAGGACAGAAAAAGAAACAGUCUUACAGUCUUGGAAGAUGUCUAAUCUUCCAACACGAGCAGCGGUAGAUCCUGGCCUGCACAGACCGAAACUCCCUCAUCAUGCUCUAAGAAAAGCCCCGUAAUGAUGUGUCACACCAACUGAAGGGAAACUGCGGGAGGUCACGGCCAUCACCUGAGCCAAAGUGAUGACCAGGCAGAUGGUAAUCCUAGAGCGCCACGAGAGGUCCAUGUCUGCCCCCCCAGAGACGCAGCGUCCUCACACACAGCCGCCGCGAGACCGACAAGGACGUCAGAGACAGCAACCCUGAGCUACAGCAUCCAGACCGAAAAAUCCAAAUAUCCCUGAGAGGAACAGGCUCCUGGAUGAGCGAUUACCACAAACUGAAACAAGCUCUCCCUCUUUACAUCCCCUCCUCCUCUCACUCUCCUCCUCCUCUGUCAUCAUUUUUUUUUCUUGCUUUAUUUCAAAGCCAACCUCCUCCUCGGGCUCUCACAGUCGCCUUGACAGAUGCAGCUAAUUAGAGGCUGCAUUAAACUCGUCCAACCCAAAAGACUUAUGAAAGAAGAUGGGCAGGAUGAUGCUGUUGGGAAAAAAACAAAAAGACUUCUAUAAGCUCAGGUUGAGCGUUUGUUUUCAGGAUCUAGAUGUGCAGGAUUCACAGUUUGCUGCAUGACCUUUCACCUCGACCACUUUGUGGUUCAAGAAUAACGUCUGCUUGACUGAAAACAGUAGCCUCCUUUUCCCCACUGUUUGAUUCCUGCAGUGUAUGAUAUGAUUGAUGAAAAAUGUCUGAGGAGGAGAUAUAUUCCACCUCACUUUUUCUUUAUCUUCAGCUCAUAUCCUCUGUCUGCUGCUUUCUAUUUAUGUUAAUGAAUUCUUGGUAUGAGUACCAAAGUUGUACCUAAAAUAGUGUUUUAUAAAUCAAGCAACCUUCACUUGCUUCAUUCUUCUGUCUACCUGAAGUUCGACUUUGCUGACCUAAAUCUGUGAACUCCAGCUUGAACACUUUACAAUGUGCAUGUUGCAUUCACCUGAUGUGUUUUCCAGGGCAAAGCUCAGCCAAGUCGGUCCCUGAGGUGAUGUCCCGGAGGCAGAGGACAAAGCAAACAGCAGACUUCUUUACUGUUGUUUCCACACAGAACACUGUAUUCGAAACAAGCAGUUUUGAGUUAUCAGAGCCACCAUAAAGUCACAUUCCUGUCAGUGGAUGACUGGAUUUCACUUGUUUCCCUUGCUAAACAACUCGGGCCAGGAAGUGUUCAAGGUGCUUGAAGGACAGACUGUUUUCCCAUUAACGAGUCAGAGAGCGGGCCAGAGCCAUCGGGGACGAUAACCGAAGCAGAUGAGCUGGUCUGGUCAUGGCUCCCAUUGACUAAAUGCUCCAUCUUUUUGCACCUGAUAAUGUGUCACAGCUGCACUGCAACAACUGACUGCAUCGGCCCACAGCCAUCUUUGAACUGAUCUGUAAAAACUGGCAGCAUCCGUGAGCUGCAUGUUGAAAGGUUUUGUGCAGACCUCCUUUGCUUUUUUUCAUCUAAAUGGCUCACAAAAUGCAUCGUUUGUAAAAACUUUUUAUGGCAUUACGAGCUCCCACAGUUCAUUUUUAAAAGGGUUGAAAUGCUCAAAAUUCACCAAAUUUACACGAAACUCACUGUUUUUAUUUAAUAUUCUCACCAGGUGAUUCCAGCAGCUGCAGGUACUUUGGUUAACUGAGGUUCAGAUAAACUGAAAGAGGCAUUUUUACACUCACGUGCAUGUUUAAAAUGCAGUAUGGUGAUUUUUUUUUAUCCUUAAAUGAUGCUUCUUUUGGCCAAGAAGUAAAGAUUACAGAGAAUGUGAUGUACAGAAAGCUGAAACUGACCUCAGCUCCUGUGGUAAGAAAGUUUAUUCCAUGUGGUGUUUAAAGCCCUCCGACAUGCAAGCUAUUUCUGGAUGUAUAGACUAGACAGCAGCAGGAGACCAGCCCACGAGUGUGCAUGCAGGACACACACACACACACACACACACACUGAGUCGAGGCCACCAGUCAGAAAGGUGGACAUUAUCCAAACUAAAAAAAUAGAAAGCUGCAGUGAAAAAACAUUAGAUCUUACAAAAACCGCAGAGACGUCCCUAAAAAAAAAUAACCCAGAUCACUUUUCAGGAUUUCAAAGAAAAGCUUGUGGCCAAAGCAGAUGUAUCACAUCGAGUCAACAUGAAUGUACUGUGUAGGAUUUAUUUCAAGCUUUAGUCAGCAGUUGGAAAUAAGU